GAGCAAACAGGAUUAGAUACCCUGGUAGUCCACGCCGUAAACGAUGUCUACUUGGAGGUUGUGCCCUUGAGGCGUGGCUUCCGGAGCUAACGCGUUAAGUAGACCGCCUGGGGAGUACGGCCGCAAGGUUAAAACUCAAAUGAAUUGACGGGGGCCCGCACAAGCGGUGGAGCAUGUGGUUUAAUUCGAUGCAACGCGAAGAACCUUACCUGGUCUUGACAUCCACAGAAUUCUGCAGAGAUGCGGAAGUGCCUUCGGGAACUGUGAGACAGGUGCUGCAUGGCUGUCGUCAGCUCGUGUUGUGAAAUGUUGGGUUAAGUCCCGCAACGAGCGCAACCCUUAUCCUUUGUUGCCAGCGGUUAGGCCGGGAACUCAAAGGAGACUGCCAGUGAUAAACUGGAGGAAGGUGGGGAUGACGUCAAGUCAUCAUGGCCCUUACGACCAGGGCUACACACGUGCUACAAUGGCGCAUACAAAGAGAAGCGACCUCGCGAGAGCAAGCGGACCUCAUAAAGUGCGUCGUAGUCCGGAUUGGAGUCUGCAACUCGACUCCAUGAAGUCGGAAUCGCUAGUAAUCGUGGAUCAGAAUGCCACGGUGAAUACGUUCCCGGGCC
This 614-nucleotide ribosomal RNA is filed under the name Salmonella enterica. RNAcentral's name for it is "bacterial SSU rRNA". It matches the Rfam family "Bacterial small subunit ribosomal RNA", at positions 766 to 1380 of the family's 1533-position model. Lineage: Bacteria; Pseudomonadati; Pseudomonadota; Gammaproteobacteria; Enterobacterales; Enterobacteriaceae. The record is from RNAcentral.